RNAcentral lists this long non-coding RNA (1002 nucleotides) under Macaca mulatta (Rhesus monkey). RNAcentral's name for it is "lncRNA (ENSMMUG00000058957.1)". The record is from RNAcentral. Lineage: Eukaryota; Metazoa; Chordata; Mammalia; Primates; Cercopithecidae.
GUCUUGUGAUUGGUCUAGAAGAGCUGCUGGCCCUCUAGAGAGACACCAGCACUGAUUGCAUAGGCCUGACUCAGCUUUUCCUCCUUCUCUGUCCGUGCUUUGCUGGCAAGCUUACUAACAUUGAGUGCAGCUAGGGGAGGAGGGGUUUCUGUUCGGUCAUUAAUUAUUUCCACUUCGGAAACAUACUGUAAGUUUAUGAGCAAGAUGUCUGCAUGGUUGGGCUUUCCAUUGGAAGAGGGACAUUUUAAAGCCAGCAUUUUGGAUUGGUGGUCAAAGGCUACCACCUCGCCCUGCAGCCGCUGCUCCUGGCACGCCCCGCUCCACACCUGGCUCCCAACGCUAUAUACUCGCCGGGAGGAGCCGCCAUCUUGGGAGUGCAGCCGCGGCCGCCCGGCGGCGGCGGCGGCGGCAGCAGCGGGCGAAAGCCGGGCCCCCAGUGAGCGCCGCGCCGCGCCGCCAUUUUGUGGAUUUUUAUCUCAGUUCCAUCACUUUGAACAGUUGGGAUCAACUCAACAAUAUUUAAAGUGGGCUUUGCAGAGCAUCUUGUGGACAAAGUACAAGGGGAAGGAGCCAGACCCUCCCCAUGGCCAUGCUUUCUCUGAAACAGCCCUGAUGACGUACUUUUUCAUGCUGAGGUCUGAAAGGAGGAAGUCUCAUCUGCCCAGAAUGUUUCCUGAAGCUCCAACCCCAGAAGUUGAGACUCUGCUGAUAUUACAGCAUGAAAAUCUUCAGUAACUGAUUCCAACUGUUGCAGCUGCAAAGAAUUGCUUUGCUAAGUAAACGCAUUUAUGGAUUUGGCCACAUUUUGUUGUUUGCUGCCUUCAAUUAUUACAAAUUCAUUCUGCUCUCUGUUUUCCAAGGUAAGAGUGGAUAGAACUGAUAUGGAAAUGGUUUUAGCAAUGUGUUAGAUUUUUUAAAAAUUAUCUGUAGCUCCUUUUAAAAAUAAAACAUUUCUUUUUCUCUCAGCAGUAAAAUAUUUUCAUUGAUGAAAAAUUUGGAAAC